Molecule: long non-coding RNA, 203 nt
Organism: Hippocampus comes (tiger tail seahorse)
Lineage: Eukaryota; Metazoa; Chordata; Actinopteri; Syngnathiformes; Syngnathidae
Exons: 2
Source: RefSeq, a predicted model, not a curated record
AAUUAUUUGUGUGUGUUUUGGACAGAUCGGGCCAAAGGUGGCGGCAGCAACAUGAGGGACCGGGCCACUAUUAAGCGUCUGAAUAUGUACAGACAAAAAAUUAGAUGUAACAACAGAGGUAAAGUCAUCAAGCCCUUACAGUACCAGUCCACCGUGGCUCCCGGGACAGUGGCCCGAGUCGAACCCAACAUCAAGUGGUUUGG